Molecule: ribosomal RNA, 372 nt
Filed under: uncultured bacterium
Lineage: Bacteria
Description: bacterial SSU rRNA
Rfam family: Bacterial small subunit ribosomal RNA
Source: RNAcentral
GUAUGGUGCAAGCGUUAUCCGGAUUUACUGGGCGUAAAGGGCUCGUAGGCGGUUCGUCGCGUCUGGUGUGAAAGUCCAUCGCUUAACGGUGGAUCUGCGCCGGGUACGGGCGGGCUGGAGUGCGGCAGGGGAGACUGGAAUUCCCGGUGUAACGGUGGAAUGUGUAGAUAUCGGGAAGAACACCAAUGGCGAAGGCAGGUCUCUGGGCCGUUACUGACGCUGAGGAGCGAAAGCGUGGGGAGCGAACAGGAUUAGAUACCCUGGUAGUCCACGCCGUAAACGGUGGAUGCUGGAUGUGGGGCCCUUUCCACGGGUUCCGUGUCGGAGCUAACGCGUUAAGCAUCCCGCCUGGGGAGUACGGCCGCAAGGCUA